Non-coding RNA from Paramuricea clavata, 906 nucleotides. NCBI's taxonomy places the organism in Eukaryota, Metazoa, Cnidaria, Anthozoa, Malacalcyonacea, Plexauridae. The record is from the annotation of a GenBank genome assembly.
CUCGUCCUUGUGACUGACUAACUUCUCUGCCACAAGUAUUGCACAACAAAAAUCCAUCUCUUGAAUGUAAUCUCCAGUGACGUUUGAGACUUUUUCGUUGUGUGAAUGUUUUCUUGCAGAUACGACACUCAAAACUCUGUUCACUCUUGUGUGCUGAUAUUUUAUGUCGUGUUAACUUGCGUGAUUCUGGAAAUCUCUUGUUACAAACAUCACAUUCAUAAGGUUUGUCUCCAAUGUGUGUUCUUUUAUGUCGAGUUAAACUACUCGGAUCUGAAAAUCUUUUGUUGCAAACAUCACAUUCAUAAGGUUUGUCUCCUGUGUGUGUUCUUUUAUGAACCACUAAAUGGCUCGACUGUGAAAAUAUUUUGUUGCAAACAUCACAUUCAUAAGGUUUGUCUCCAGUGUGUGUUCUUUUAUGUCGAGUUAAAGUACUCGGAUCUGAAAAUCUUUUGUUGCAAACAUCACAUUCAUAAGGUUUGUCUCCUGUGUGUGUUCUUUUAUGAACCACUAAAUGGCUCGACUUUGAAAAUCUUUUGUUGCAAACAUCACAUUCAUAAGGUUUGUCUCCAGUGUGUCUUCUUUUAUGUCGUGCUAAAUUACUACAAUCUGAAAAUCUUUUGUUGCAAACAUCACAUUCAUAAGGUUUGUCUCCUGUGUGUGUUCUUUUAUGAACCACUAAAUGGCUCGACUUUGAAAAUCUUUUGUUGCAAACAUCACAUUCAUAAGGUUUGUCUCCAGUGUGUGUUCUCUUAUGAACCGUUAAGUUGCUAGAGUUUAAAAAUCUUUUGUUGCAAACAUCACAUUCAUAAGGUUUGUCUCCAGUGUGUGUUCUUUUAUGAACCGUUAAGUUGCUUGAGUUUAAAAAUCUUUUGUUGCAAACAUCACAUUCAUAAGGUUUGUCUCCAG